Molecule: ribosomal RNA, 1050 nt
Filed under: Triticum aestivum (bread wheat)
Lineage: Eukaryota; Viridiplantae; Streptophyta; Magnoliopsida; Poales; Poaceae
Description: partial small subunit ribosomal RNA
Source: RNAcentral
AUGGCCAGGGACACGGCUUCUUCCUCCUCCCAUGGAGUGAAGAACUUUCCAGCCCAUGGUCUACUGUUCUUGUCCAGCUCGGUUUGGAAGGCCCGUUCGCUACUACUCCUUCCGUCCGGAAAAAGUUGUCUCCGCCGAAGUUUUACGAAAAACCCCUUCCCUUUCUUCCGACAAGCCACGCAGCCCAUCGCGCCUGCUCCGUCGCCUCGCCACGCGCCGGCGGCCUGCUCCGCUGCCUUGCCGCCUACUCUGCCGCCUCUCCGCCUGCUCCGUCGCCUCGCCACGCGCCGGCCGCCUCCUCCCCUCGUCUCGCCGCUUCUCUUCCUUCGCACCAGGAGAUCCAGAGGGAAGGAUCCCCUUUUCUGCAAAGCCCGCGACUUCCCGACUCCGGCGGCGGUGCUCAUGUCCUGGAGGGAGUUGGGGCUUGAUCUGGAGGCAUGGAAGAUCCUCGAGCUCCUCGUCCUCGAGCUCCUCAUCCACCAGUUCCUCCUCCAGACCCCGAGCGGCUGCUGCGGAAUUCGACGGCGUGGGGGAAGACGACCACGGCAUGGGGAAGAUGAAGACUUGCUCCAGCCACAUGCCACUGCCCCGUGCUCGUCUUGCCGCUGCCAUUUCCCUCCUCGAGCUGGCGGACUGAUGAUGGAGGACCCGCCCUCUUCGCUGCACCGGCGCCGUUGCUGCCGCAUCUGCUCUGCUCCUGCUGCCCGCUCGCCCACGGUAGCGCAGCGAUUGGAGGAGGACUUGGUGCAGAGGAAUGGAGUACGAGUACGGAUGCUGCUUCCGUUAAUCUCAGCAGAGGCAGCAAAGGAGGCGGGAGGAAGUCAUGGAGUAGUACCAGCAGAGGCAGAAGAGGAGGCGGGAAGAAGUCGAGGCCAAUCGAUUAGAAGCAGAGGCAACAACAGAGGUGGGAGGCGGCACUCGUCCUGCGAGCAGGUGGGUGGCGGCGGCCAGAGGAAGCGCACCGGCCAGAGCAAGCGCACCAGCGGGAGCUCGGGGCGCGACUCCUGUACGCCGUCUUUUCAACGGGUGGCGUCACCUGUGCCGCACUGA